Molecule: ribosomal RNA, 438 nt
Filed under: uncultured Anaerolineaceae bacterium
Lineage: Bacteria; Bacillati; Chloroflexota; Anaerolineae; Anaerolineales; Anaerolineaceae
Description: bacterial SSU rRNA
Rfam family: Bacterial small subunit ribosomal RNA
Source: RNAcentral
GCAGCGGAGCGUGUGGUUUAAUUCGUUGCUACACGAAGAACCUUACCUGGGUUUGACAUAUAGGUUGUAGGGAACUGAAAGGGACCGACCCUUCGGGGAGCCUAUACAGGUGUUGCAUGGCUGUCGUCAGCUCGUGUCGUGAGAUGUUCGGUUAAGUCCGCUAACGAGCGCAACCCUCGUCGUAUGUUAUAUGUGUCAUACGAGACUGCCGGUAAAAGCCGGAGGAAGGUGAGGAUGAUGUCAAGUCAGCAUGACCUUUAUAUCCAGGGCUACACACACGCUACAAUGGUCUGUACAAUGGGUAGCCAAGCCGCGAGGCGGAGCCAAUCCUGAAAGCAGGCCUCAGUUCAGAUUGCAGUCUGCAACUCGACUGCAUGAAGCCGGAGUUGCUAGUAACCGCAGGUCAGCAAUACUGCGGUGAAUACGUUCCCGGGUCUU